Molecule: long non-coding RNA, 389 nt
Filed under: Ursus americanus (American black bear)
Lineage: Eukaryota; Metazoa; Chordata; Mammalia; Carnivora; Ursidae
Description: lncRNA (ENSUAMG00000009702.1)
Source: RNAcentral
GUAGAAAUCUUACCACUUCCAUACCCUGGCACCCAGCACAUAUCAGGCAUCCCAGGGCCCUGCCGCUCGUUCCAAAAAUAAACAAACCCUGUGACUUUGCUAAAAUCAACCAAUUGUAGCUGAACCGGAAGCGACUACAUCUGCAGCAAAACCUGCUUCUCCCCAAGAGCCAGCCCAGGAGCCACAUGGUGCCGCCCCAAGUACAGAAGAGCUGAACCCACUGAAUUUCUUGGUAGCAGGACAUGGCUUAGAAGAAGCAAAAAAAGCAGUGCAUAAAGGAGUUCAGCUUGGAAAACGUCUUUAUAAGGGUGGAGCUGACGUGGGACAAAAUCUGAAAAACUUGCGUGCAAAACUCAAUGUAGUUGGAGUCUGAGAAGUUGAAAAGAACG